GAUGAAGUGCAAAUCUUAUCAAUAUGAAAGUUAAAGAAAAAAUGAAGGCAGACCUCCAAGUGGGAAAAAAAAAAGUAAAAAAAAAUCUAAAAUGAAACCAAAAUUGUUGAGUGGAACAAUAUUAGUCACAACUUCAUAGCAAUUGAAUAUGGUCUCUUUCCGAUGUCGUUCAUCUAUGUGUUCAAAAAAUUGAUUACAAAAAGUUUUGUGGUAAAGUGAAAUUGUCAGAUAGACCUCUAGCUAUGCUUAGUUUCUGAUUUUUGCAUUUGAGUGGUGGUUGUCUGCAUCUUCUCUCUUUUUAUACUUUAUUGCUUUUGGUUAUAUACUUCAUGUAACUUAAAAUAUUAUUCACCUGCUGCUAUAUAAUGAUAUUGGUCAAGAUUUUAACUUAGUAUAGUAUUGUGACUGACAUUGUAGUAUUUUGUAGAGUGUUAUGAGAAUAUUUUAUUCUUAUUGUGUGUUUACAGAUGGAUAAGGGAACAAGUCCAGA
Molecule: unclassified non-coding RNA, 490 nt
Filed under: Hevea brasiliensis (rubber tree)
Lineage: Eukaryota; Viridiplantae; Streptophyta; Magnoliopsida; Malpighiales; Euphorbiaceae
Source: RNAcentral